Taeniopygia guttata (zebra finch) is the source of this 3073-nucleotide non-coding RNA. Lineage: Eukaryota; Metazoa; Chordata; Aves; Passeriformes; Estrildidae. The record is from RefSeq and is a predicted model, not a curated record.
CGCUGAGGGUACGAAGGGCUGGGAGCGGAGUUCUGCUCUGAGGUCACAGUUUCAAUGGGCUGUAAGCACGGGGCUGGUGCAGGCUGAGCCAUGUUUCCCCUCUGGAGCAGCAGAGGCACAGCACAGGGAACUCCGAGGUUUCUUCUUGAGCUGCUUAAUCUAAAUACACCGUGAGUCACUCCGUAUGUAUUGGCUCUGUGCAGAUUGGCACUGAGAGAAUGUAAUUCCUCUGGGACCAGAGCAUAAAGCACCCGAAACUAGAGAUCGGUUUCUCUGAAACUGGAGGUACGAGAUAAAGUUCCAUCACAACCACAAACAUUUUUUUGUGGACUAGUGUUCCGGUAUUUUAAAUGCAAAAACAUCCCCUGUCUAAAUGGUUCCAGGAUUUCAUGAACUUCUUGUCAGUUCAGGGGUCAAAUCAGGUUGCCUCAAAAAGUAUAAAGAAAAAAGUAUAGAGAUUUUAUUAUUUAAUGGGGGUUUUAUUAUCUGAAUUUUUGUGGUGUUAAAGCUCAGGAUUAUACAGCCUCUGGUUGUCUCAAAUUUUGAGGAAGACACAGAAUUUUGGAAACUGUUCAUAUAGCAGCAACUAAAAGAACAAAAUUCUUGAAAACCUGGAAGUUUCAUGGAUUACUUCUCCAAAGUGGUAAAAGAAGAUCCAAGGCUCAAAGAUUUAUAUUUAUGAACUUUGAGGUCACAGGGAAGUUUUUAAAUGAUCGUGUUUAGCCUGUGUAGCCCAGGUCACAGAAUCAGAGUGAGACCUGUAUUAAUGCUGUAACUUCUGCUUGAGGCCAUGCCAUGUUAACAGUCGCUGUUAAAUGUUAAAGGGCAUUUCAUUUUCAGUUUCACUUUUUAGCUUAGCUCUUUGUCAAUGGAUCAUGUUGCAUUGGUUCUUGCUUGAACAGACUUUUUACUAUUAAAAGAUUUCUCUCUGCAGAGUUCAAGAUUAUUAAUCUCUAUUUCUAAAAGAUUAUACAACUCAUAUUUUUAAAACUCCUUUCCUGAUGACUUUUGUGCUUCUUUUCUCAAAAAUUUCAAAACUUUCUGGAAUUAGUUUUGAAUUAGGAACACCAAAACCAAAGCUAUAUUAUUGCUGAAUGCUCAGUGGUAAAUCACAUUGCUGUUUCUGACUGAUAUCCCCACCUAAUUAAAACAGAGACAGACAGAUACAUGAAUCAUUCAGAAAGGGUGCAGUGUUUAAUUAGUUAUCCGCUGCAACACAAUUUUCUUAGGGGUUAUUAUUACUUCCAACAUGACAAUCCUACAUCUUACAUUGCUUGACCUAUGACUAUGGCCAGGCAUUUGACCAUAUUAUAAGAAAAUUACAAAUGAACCAAGGCUAUUAAGCAAUUCAGGUCACCCAUAGUUAAUUAAUCUGUAUCAUGAUCAUCUUCUGAUUUCUCUGCUAUCUGCAAUGAUAAAUACUGGAUGAUUCUUGUUCAUAAUUAAUGUAGCACUCAAAGCAAAGCUAUGGUGAAGUUAUUAUCAAAACAGAACUGCAAGAUGAAAGGUACUAAUGUUAAUCUGGUAAAAUCUCAAGAACCCUGGAAGCAGGAAACCUGCUAUAUGGGGUCACUGGUAAGAGACAGAAUCAUUCACAUAGAGAAAAAUUCCUCUCUCCUAAAAGAAAUUCAUGUAGUUGAGUAAUUUUCUUCCUAAAAAAAUUGUCAACUGAGGAAGAAAUGCCAGUUUUUAAUAUGUGUUUUCUCUUUGCAUGAUCACAAAUACAGUAAAUGUUUGUUUGUUAACUCUCUGAGGUGGUACUGGCUGCUGAAUGCAGAAAAAACUGCAGUUCUUGAUAUGUCUUCAGCAUGGGAAAGGCUUUAUCAGACCUACAGGGCCACAUCUGAAUAAUUAAAGUCUCUUGGCAUAGAAUCUGAUUUAUCUUCCAAAUACAGAGUUUAUGUUUUAGCCCGACUGUUUAGGGGAAGAAAAUAGUUUCACCAGUUGUGUUUCUUUGAUGUGGUCUUGCUUAUAAAAUAACUGAGUGACAUUUUGAGUUGUAGACACCUCCACUGCAAACACCUCACUCCUGAGGGAUGUGGGCCAGAUGAAGAGUCCGGACUCUGAAUUUCAGGAGAGCAGAUUUGCAGCUCUGUAAAGAAUUAGUGAAUGGCACCCCCUGGGAAACUGCUCUCAAGGAACUGAAAAGAGCUGGCAGCUCUCUGAGGACAAAAUCCUCUGAGUGCAAGAGCGUUUAAUUCCCACGUGUAAGAAAUGAAGCAAGGAAGGAAGGAGAAUGGCAUGGGUCAGUCAGGAGCUCCUGGUCCACCUGAAGUGUAAGAAGGAAAUGCACAAGCAGUAGAACAAGAGACAAGUAUCCUGGGAAGAAUACAGGGACACUGACGGGAUGUGUAGAGAUGGGAUCAGGAAAGCCAAAGCCACAACUGAAGCUGAGUUUUUCAAGGCAUUUUACAGGAUCAAUCCCACACAACUCAUUGUCCCGUUGCAACCUGAGACUGGAAAUGCCUGAGGGCGGGAGGCGUUUCUCCGAGUGGAGCUCAGUCAUCCUGCAGAGCGGGGCACCGGUCCAAGGCUGCGGAAACAGCACAACAAUAACCAACUGCCUUCUGGUUAAGAAAAACAAAAACCCAAUAACAAGGCAGUACUAAAGGCUGGCAAACCAGAGUUACUGCAAACUUAAGGACUGCUUGGUUUCACAUCCAAAGAAGCAGGAAAAAAAUUACUUCUGGUAGCACUGAAAGGAAUAAGGAAAGUACAAGCCCGGAAAAAGGCUGCACACAUUUACUGCUAAAACUGACGAGGAAAAAAUUCCACCCUAGAAGUCAUCUGGCAUCCAGAGCUUAGUCUGCCAAUGGAAUGACUAAGAAGAUGAUUAUGGAAGGUUUUUGCACCUUUUUGUUUUGACUGCUAACAAUUACUAAGACUGGCAAAUGACUCUACCUGAGAGGUUAGCUCAAAGUUUAUAGUUCAGAUGAACAAAAACUAACAAACUGGAUUUUCCUUCUCUGACAGUCCACUCAUGUUUAGUAGUACCAGCAGCAUUUUCUGCAUGAUGCACAGUAAUGCUGUUAUUUGGUUCCUCUUGUUUAGAAAUAAAAUAAUUCUAUCUGCA